GUUUUUCAUAGUUUUCCAGGAUAACUAUGGUGACGACUCCAAAUCUCUUGUUAAAUCCGUUUUCUCUUUUGGUUCGUCGUCUCGUCGCGAUUCCAGUUGCGACAAUAAGAUUCUUCAAUGAUUCAAAUUCUCUCACAAUGGACUUGGUACAUCUUUAGUCUUUAUUUACAUAUUUGUUUUACUGAUUUUUUGUAUCCUGAGCACCACAAAUUAUAAGCAGAGACACCACAAGUUGUGUUGGAUAUUUAAAGGUUGAUCUUCAAAGAUUUGAUAACAUGAAGGAGGAGGACGAAGAGAAGGCAAUGAUAGGAUUUUGGAGUGCAUUUACGUGGUUGGUGGGUAUGAAAUUGGUCACAUCUUUGCUUUCUAAAUAUGUACUUGGAAAAAUCGAGGUACUUUAUAUAUCUUUGGGGGUGGAUAUGGGACUAGCAACUCAAAGUUAAUGAAUGAUACUAUGUCAUUUUUUUUUUUCAUUUUUUAGACUUAUAACUAGGGGUUGAUCCCUAAAGUAUUACUUGAGUUAUAAGAGUAGUUCCAAUCACUAGAAUCCUGGGAGAAUUUGAUGGUUGCUACAAGAAUAGGGAAAAGUUCAGUCUUGAAGGAGUGCACACUUCCAUUUAAGAAGAGUUCCACCAUAGAUGGAGGUGGGUGCCAAUGGUGGGAUCUUUGAGGUAUAUUUUAUUUGAACUUAAUUGAAAAGGGUGGAAUAUGUUCAUACAUAUCACAUUAUAGAAAAGUAAGGUAGCAAUUAUCUUUGAACAAAUAAUGACUCUAAAAGCUUGUGAUGACAUCUAAAUGGAGGAGAGAAUGUCACCCUAGAUUGGAAUGAAGCAAGUGCUUGCUUAUUAACUGUUUGAACUUUGCAUGUCAUGUUUAAUUGGAUUAUCAUCAUUGCUAUGCCUUUUAUUGUCAUCUUUGAUGGAGAUUUAUUUGCUCCAUGUCGAUCCUAUCAGAACCAAUGGUAGUGCCUCAAUGAAUAAGAAGAUUGAUGGGGGCAUGUAAUGCAUGAGAGGUGGAUACAACCAUAUGUUUCUUUGACUAAAUCAAAAGUUUAAGCAAUUGGAAAAAUGUUAAUACCCCUUUCAAGGCCUGACAACAUUUCUCCACAUUUUUGUUUGGAGUAUUACGGUGGAUUUGAGUGCAAUCAGGAAUCAAAUAAGGAAAAGGUGUCGAAGAUCCUCGGUGUCCCAUUACAGGCUUGGAAGUUCUAACUCAAUGGAAAGUUAGGCAAACAAAGAUGAUAUACUUUAUGGUUAUAUGUUAUAUAACUUAUAUAUUGACUAACAAUCAAGAUGAUAUACUUUAUGGUUAUUAUAUGUAAUGUUUCCAAGGUCACAUGUUUAGCUUUGUAAUCUAUGCAUAUUCAUCUAAUAAUUUCCAAAGGCAAUUACUAUUUUUGGACAGGAUGCACAAGAAGGAUGGUCUGAAUCAUGCAACCCAAAAUGUAAGGAACUCAAGCGGCCAAGUAAAGGCAUUUUAUAGGUUAAGUAUGUUUUUCAAUGGACUAUAUAUUUUUUCUCAUAUUACAUCUCAAGUAUGCUUUCAUGCAUUGAUUCAUUGCACACAUUCAUCUACUGUAUGGAAUUCUCAUUCUCAUGUAAUUUUUUAAACUUCUUUUAUCUGACAUGUUAUCGCUGAUUAUGGAUGGAUUAAAAUUGUAGGAAAAGAAUAACCUUCUUUUAAAUCACUUAGAUUACUUAACAACCCAGUCUAUCCUUAGCCAAAGUUUACCUCAAACCUCUUGUACCAAACUUCUCAAUGGGAACUUAAAUUAAAAAGCAUGUUAAGACACACAUUAAACUAUAAGCAAAAAUAAAAGAAUUAAAAGAAAGUAUAGCAACAAGACUAUGCAGCCUAAUGGGAAGGUUUUUAGACACUUAAAGCCUCUAAAGCCUAACCAACUAAAAAACAUGAUGUACUAAAAAGCUUAGGUUCCAAUUAGGAGAUGAGAUCCAACAUCAAAGGUCCCCCAAGACACCUACCUAGGCCAAUUUUACAACAAACAAAUCACAACUCAAAUUAAAGAAAAAUGCAUAUACAACCAAAGUUUUAGCUAUUCCUUUCCAAGUGUUUAUCUCCUCUUCUUUUUGUCUCCUUCACAAGGCUUCAAGUCCACUUCAGGUUUACUGUUAGUGAAAAACCAACAUGGCAAGUGCACCAGUCGCACAUAACAAGUAAUAAGUAUUUUAUCGUUCUCUCACAAGGGACUUGUGCAACGCAUGACAACUCUCGCAAUUCAGACUUAAUUAGACACAAAGUUCACACAAACACAAUGAAAACUAUUUUUGUAUUUUAUGAAACAGUUGGUGUGCAACAAGAAAUUAACAUAGUGUAUUUACAAUUUCUCAAGAUUAGACUUUAACCAUUUCAUUCUCAUGCAUUCUAAAUUAUCCCAAUUCCAUAUUCAUGUUAAAAUCAAUUCAUAAGAAUACUCAAAUCCUAUUCCUAGAGACUUUGAGCCUAUGAUUACUCAUCAAGUUUCAAUUCCUUGAAUCCUCAACAAGUGAAAUCAUGCAUUAGUUUUAAGAAUCUAAGAUUACUAAUGAACCAAGUUCUAUUCCUAGAUACAAGCAUCCAUUAGGUAUUUAAUUUCAAAUCUAGAUUCUAAAGAUGUUUCCCAACACCUCAAGAAUCACAAAUCAAGCAUGGGAACAAUCCACAUCAAGCAUUAAGCAUGAAGAUCAAAUACUAACAUGAAUUGGAAAAGCAUAUAAAUUAACAACACAAUUUUACACAAGAAUUC
Long non-coding RNA from Vigna unguiculata (cowpea), 2743 nucleotides. The record is from RefSeq and is a predicted model, not a curated record. Lineage: Eukaryota; Viridiplantae; Streptophyta; Magnoliopsida; Fabales; Fabaceae.